This is a long non-coding RNA of Acinonyx jubatus (cheetah), 2640 nucleotides long. RefSeq lists it as uncharacterized. The record is from RefSeq and is a predicted model, not a curated record. Lineage: Eukaryota; Metazoa; Chordata; Mammalia; Carnivora; Felidae. The transcript has 2 exons.
CCCUCCUUCCCAGAGCCCUCGCCCCAGACUCAAAACCUCAAACUUGACCCGAGGAAGAGGGGCCUUGGGGAAUGCCUGGUCAAGGCCGUGAUGUCUGCGUGCACGGGCCUGGGGUGGGGGUGGGAGGUGCCUUUGUAGGGAGGAGGGCGGGCGGCAGGGUCAGAGCCACCUGCUUGGUCUCCCCGGUUCCCUAGGCCAAACUGAAUCAACUCCGGGCCUCCUUCCCCUCCCCCUCUGUGGCGCUAAGGGCUGGGAGGAGGAGAGUUCAAGGACCGCGGGACCCAGCCUGAGAUUCAGCGGGACCGGGGUCCCCACCGGGCUGAACCUGGAAACCCACCAGGAACAGAAAAAAGGCGCAGAUCCCUAGGCAUCAGGUUCUCCGGGUCCCGGUGCACAGACCUCAGGGGAGAGCAAACCUGGCUGCCCCCACCUCACCUCUAGCCCCACACCCGCAUAUUUACAGACAAGACAGCUGGACCAUGACAGGGAAAGACACGCCCCCCCAGGGAACUUGUGAGCACCCCCAGGCAGAGGUUCCUGUUUGCUCCACGCGCGUCCUGCUGCUCGGUAGGACAUUUGUCUCAAGAAAGUCAGAGGACCACCAUCAGGAAGCAGCCGCUCCUGGGCCUUGCAGCCAGCUGUCUACGGGGUGUUUACCGUAUAAAUCAGUUGUUCUGAGAGGAGCCUGAGAAUUCAGUUUUUAAUCAUCACUCCAGGAGAGUCUUACGAUGCAGCAGGUUUGAUAAACACUGGUCUGUUUUUGAUAAAUAGCCAAUCCCAUGUCCCUUCUUAGGAAAUACUGUAUUUUUCUGUUUAUAAAAUGCCAUGUUGUAAGAUGUUCCCCAAUUUUACAAGGAUAGCUUUCUUUCAGAAUAAUAAUACAAAAAGCUAACAUUUACACAGUGGUAAGAUUUUUCCCAGGCACUCUUCUGGUUCCUUUAUGGCUGUUAACAGAUUAAGACAGACAGCAACCACAUGACCACGUAAGUUGGUAUCGUCUAAUUUUACAUAUGUAGAAACUGAGUCACCAAGAGGGCCAGUGCCUCGCCCAAGGUCACAUGGAUGGCAAAGAAUUUCCGGGAUUCAAGCCCAGACAAUUUGGCUCCAGAAUCAGAUUUAUCAGCCUCUGUCGCUCAAGAAAAAAAAUCAAGUACUUUUCAUUAUAUGUUUAUUGAAAGUGAUGUUAAAGUGGUUUUGCAGGAGAAAACAUUAUUUUGUUCAUGUAAAUACAUUGUACUGCGUUCUGAAAUUUAUCAGGAAACGGUACAUCCAAACUACGUAUCAGUAUUUGGCUAAAUGUUUCAUUUGAGAUACAAGCACAUUGAAGAUGUGGGGUACGCUGCAGAGAGGGGGUGCAUCCGAUCCGACAGCCCAGCAAACCACGUCUGAUGUGCAGUCACACCGAAUGCUCACCACGAGGGGUGCCACAAUAACGUGGGUGGGAGGCAGUGACCGUGGAAGAAGCAAAGCCACUCCGGGGCAGCCGUGCUUGAGAAUGCACACGUGCACACUGCCCACGCACCCCUCCCUCCGCCACAAAGCCCCAGCCUCCAGGGGUGUCCCUAGACAGGCAGACAGCCCUCCAGGAGCCCUGAGCGGGUCUGAGGGCCAGAGUGCCCUUUGCCGGUACAGAACAAGCCCACCGGGUCUCACAGGUGUCCUGUGGGACGGCAUCGACGGGUCCCGGGGGAGUGGUGUGAACCAGACCUUGAGGGGACACUGUUGGCACAGGCGACAGGAAGACGGGGGCCGUGGAAUGUAAACUAACACCAGUUUAGGGAAAUGCCAGGCUCUGUAAUGUCAAAGAAGUCACACUGUGCCGAGAGCUCGGCCUUGAGACAGCACUCAGAUCUGAACAGAAUUCCCUCCAAGCUGGGCCACAAGUUGGGUCCCAGACUGGGCUCCAAGCUGAAGUUUGGCACACCCCAAAGUGGGUCUCUCGCAUCUCACGGAGAGAAGGGUGUUUCUCUUUUGCAAUCGAGCCUCUGUUUCCCAUCUCGGGCAUCAGUCAGGACAGGCCGGGUUCUGCUGCAGUAACAAGCAAUCCUCAAGUCUCACGUGCCGCGACGAUGCGAGGCCACUUCUCACACACGCCACGUGUCCCCGACCAGACGCCACGGGACCAGCCUUCAGAGAGCAGCUCGAAUGUCCCGACGGCUGUGCCAAAGAGCGAGGGAGAGCCUAGGAGGGCCUCGUACUGGCCGUUAAGUGCCCAGCCUAGACGUGGCACCUGCCACUUCCACUCUCACGUACUGGCUGGAAAGUAUCACGCAAACUCCGCAGGCAGAACAGCGGGGGUAGGAGUGGACUUCCGUGUACUUUGGUGAAAACGCCAUGAUCUGCACAGCAACCCUCCAACCAAUCAGGAGUUGGCUCCAAACUCACCCCGACUCCCAGAUACCAGGCUGUGCAGGGUAGUGAGGCAUGACCUCUAUCACAUCAGAAUUCAGGGGCGCCUGGGGGGCUCAGUUGGACAAGCGUCCGACUCCGGCUCAGGUCAUGAUCUCGCGGUUCGUGGGUUCGAGCCCCACGUCGGGCUCUGUGCUGACAGCUCAGGGCUUGCAGCCUGCUUGGGAUUCUCUCUCCCUUUCUCUCUGCCCCUCCCCCUACAGUCUCUCUCCCUCUCUCUCUCUCUCUCUC